GUGCCAGCCGCCGCGGUAAUACGGGGGGGGCAAGCGUUGUUCGGAAUUACUGGGCGUAAAGGGCGCGUAGGCGGCUCGCUAAGUUGGAUGUGAAAACUCUGGGCUUAACCCAGAGCCUGCAUUCAAAACUGACGGGCUAGAGUUCUGGAGGGGAUAGCGGAAUUCCUGGUGUAGCGGUGAAAUGCGUAGAUAUCAGGAGGAACACCGGUGGCGAAGGCGGCUAUCUGGACAGAAACUGACGCUGAGGCGCGAAAGCUAGGGGAGCAAACAGGAUUAGAAACCCUGGUAGUCC
RNAcentral lists this ribosomal RNA (292 nucleotides) under uncultured bacterium. Its description in RNAcentral is "partial 16S ribosomal RNA". It matches the Rfam family "Bacterial small subunit ribosomal RNA", at positions 505 to 796 of the family's 1533-position model. The record is from RNAcentral.